Small nuclear RNA from Suncus etruscus (white-toothed pygmy shrew), 104 nucleotides. The record is from RefSeq and is a predicted model, not a curated record. Lineage: Eukaryota; Metazoa; Chordata; Mammalia; Eulipotyphla; Soricidae.
AUGCUCGCUUCAGGAGCACAUAUACUAAAAUUGGAAAGAUAGAGAGAUUAGCAUGGUCCCUGCUCAAGAAUGACACGCAAAUUCAUGAAGCGGUCCAUAUUAAA